RNAcentral lists this ribosomal RNA (468 nucleotides) under uncultured bacterium. Its description in RNAcentral is "partial 16S ribosomal RNA". It matches the Rfam family "Bacterial small subunit ribosomal RNA", at positions 28 to 507 of the family's 1533-position model. The record is from RNAcentral.
GACGAACGCUGGCGGCGUGCUUAACACAUGCAAGUCGAACGGAAAGGCCCUGCUUUUGUGGGGUUCUCGAGUGGCGAACGCGUGAGUAACACGUGAGUAACCUGCCCUUGACUUUGGGAUAACUUCAGGAAACGGGGGCUAAUACCGGAUAGGAGCUCCUGCUGCAUGGUGGGGGUUGGAAAGUUUAGGCGGUUGGGGAUGGACUCGCGGCUUACCAGCUUGUUGGUGGGGUAGUGGCUUACCAAGGCUUUGGCGGAUAGCCGGCCUGAGAGGGUGGCCGGCGUCAAUGGGACUGCGAGACGGAGCAGUCUGCUACGGGAGGCAGCAGUGGGGAAUAUUGCACAGUGGGCGGAAGCCUGUUGCAGAAGCGCCGCGGGCGGGAUGACGGCCUGUGGGUUGUAAACCGCUUUCGCCUGAGACGAAGCGUGAGUGACGGUAAUGGGUAAAGAAGCACCGGCUAACUACGUG